This 586-nucleotide ribosomal RNA is filed under the name uncultured bacterium. RNAcentral describes it as "bacterial SSU rRNA". It matches the Rfam family "Bacterial small subunit ribosomal RNA", at positions 338 to 916 of the family's 1533-position model. The record is from RNAcentral.
CCUACGGGAGGCAGCAGUGGGGAAUUUUGGACAAUGGGGGGCAACCCUGAUCCAGCCAUGCCGCGUGAGUGAAGAAGGCCUUCGGGUUGUAAAGCUCUUUCGGCCGGAACGAAAUCGCGCACGUGAAUAACGUGCGUGGAUGACGGUACCGGAGUAAGAAGCACCGGCUAACUACGUGCCAGCAGCCGCGGUAAUACGUAGGGUGCGAGCGUUAAUCGGAAUUACUGGGCGUAAAGCGUGCGCAGGCGGUUCGCUAAGUCAGACGUGAAAGCCCCGGGCUUAACCUGGGAACGGCGUUUGAAACUGGCGGGCUCGAGUACGGCAGAGGGGGGUGGAAUUCCACGUGUAGCAGUGAAAUGCGUAGAUAUGUGGAGGAACACCGAUGGCGAAGGCAGCCCCCUGGGCCGAUACUGACGCUCAUGCACGAAAGCGUGGGGAGCAAACAGGAUUAGAUACCCUGGUAGUCCACGCCCUAAACUAUGUCAACUAGUUGUCGGGGAAGCAAUUCCUUGGUAACGCAGCUAACGCGUGAAGUUGACCGCCUGGGGAUACGGUCGCAAGNUUAAAACUCAAAAUGAAUUGACGG